RNAcentral lists this ribosomal RNA (492 nucleotides) under uncultured bacterium. Its description in RNAcentral is "partial 16S ribosomal RNA". It matches the Rfam family "Bacterial small subunit ribosomal RNA", at positions 29 to 507 of the family's 1533-position model. The record is from RNAcentral.
AGUGAACGCUGGCGGCAGGCCUAAUACAUGCAAGUCGAACGGCAGCACAGUAAGAGUUCGCCCUUACUGUUGGCGAGUGGCGGACGGGUAAGGAAUACAUCGCCUUCUACUUUUUCUUGGGGGAUUACGUAGGGCCAUAUAUGCUACCACCGCAUAUUUCCUACGGCUGAGUGCAAGAGUUCUUCGCACUUUUCCCGUUACUUUGAGCCGAUGUCGGAUUAGCUAGUUGGCUUGGUAAAGGCCCACCAAGGCGACGAUCCGUAGCUGGCCUGAGAGGAUGAUCAGCCACACUGGAACUGAGACACGGUCCAGACUCCUACGGGAGGCAGCAGUGGGGAAUAUUGGGCAAUGGGCGCAAGCCUGAUCCAGCAAUACCGCGUGGGUGAAGAAGGCCUUCGGAUUGUAAAACCCUGUUAUUGGGGAAGAAAAGCAGUAGGAUAAUACCCGGAUGUUCUGACGGUACCCAAAGAAUAAGCAACGGCUAACUUCGUG